CAGAGAAUAGUUUAUAUAAAAUAUUAAUUUUGGAGAUUAAUGAAAAGAUUAUUCUUUUCUCUGA
Molecule: transfer RNA, 64 nt
Filed under: Cucujoidea sp. 24 KM-2017
Lineage: Eukaryota; Metazoa; Arthropoda; Insecta; Coleoptera
Description: tRNA-Pro
Source: RNAcentral